AAAGGGGGUAUUGCCUUAGUACCGGCGAGUGAAGCGGCAAAAGCUCAAAUUUGAAAUCUGGCACCUUCGGUGUCCGAGUUGUAAUUUGAAGAAGGUAACUUUGGAGUUGGCUCUUGUCUAUGUUCCUUGGAACAGGACGUCACAGAGGGUGAGAAUCCCGUGCGAUGAGAUGCCCAAUUCUAUGUAAAGUGCUUUCGAAGAGUCGAGUUGUUUGGGAAUGCAGCUCUAAGUGGGUGGUAAAUUCCAUCUAAAGCUAAAUAUUGGCGAGAGACCGAUAGCGAACAAGUACAGUGAUGGAAAGAUGAAAAGAACUUUGAAAAGAGAGUGAAAAAGUACGUGAAAUUGUUGAAAGGGAAGGGCUUGAGAUCAGACUUGGUAUUUUGCGAUCCUUUCCUUCUUGGUUGGGUUCCUCGCAGCUUACUGGGCCAGCAUCGGUUUGGAUGGUAGGAUAAUGACUAAGGAAUGUGGCUCUACUUCGGUGGAGUGUUAUAGCCUUGGUUGAUACUGCCUGUCUAGACCGAGGACUGCGUCUUUUGACUAGGAUGUUGGCAUAAUGAUCUUAAGCCACCCGUCUUAACAACCGGGACCAAAACAAAGAUUAAUUCCAAUGGGAGGGUGGGUUGGAAGGGCCUUUGGAGGGUGCCCUCUUGGGAUCUCUGCAACUAGAAACCGACCUAACCCAUUGACUAGAAGU
This 694-nucleotide ribosomal RNA is filed under the name Debaryomyces hansenii. RNAcentral describes it as "LSU rRNA". The stretch from base 1 to 584 matches the Rfam family "Eukaryotic large subunit ribosomal RNA", at positions 67 to 664 of the family's 3401-position model. The record is from RNAcentral. Lineage: Eukaryota; Fungi; Ascomycota; Pichiomycetes; Serinales; Debaryomycetaceae.